Molecule: long non-coding RNA, 251 nt
Organism: Onychostruthus taczanowskii (white-rumped snowfinch)
Lineage: Eukaryota; Metazoa; Chordata; Aves; Passeriformes; Passeridae
Exons: 2
Source: RefSeq, a predicted model, not a curated record
UGUCCCCUCCCGGCCGCCGUCCCCCCACGUGACCUGGCCCCGCCCCUCCCCGCCGCCACGUGACGCGAGCCCCGGUGCCGCCAUGAUGGCGGCGGGCGGCGGGGCCGGGCCCGGGCGGGCCCUGGAGGCGCUGCUGGAGAUGGGAUUCGGGGCCCGGCGCGCGGCGAAGGCGCUGGCGCUGACCGGGAACCGCGGCGUGGAGCCGGCCAUGGACUGGUGAGGGGGACCCCGAAAAUCCCCCGGGACCCCCC